GAGAUACAAGAGUUCAAAGAUAACCACUCGACGAAUGUAGAGUUACAAUGUCAUUUCAUUCGAAGCAUGUUUUGUUCAUAACAAGAAGCAUAUGAAAUAUAUGCUAAUUGGAGCAUAUCAUUGGCAUAAGAAGCAUAUCCAUGACAUAUGAAAUAUUUCAAAGCAUAUCAAGGACGUAAGAAGUAUUUUGAGGUAUAUCAAUGGCGGAUGAAAUAUUUCGAAACAUU
RNAcentral lists this long non-coding RNA (227 nucleotides) under Musa acuminata (dwarf banana). RNAcentral describes it as "long non-coding RNA (MACU_LNC001930)". Lineage: Eukaryota; Viridiplantae; Streptophyta; Magnoliopsida; Zingiberales; Musaceae. The record is from RNAcentral.